This 487-nucleotide ribosomal RNA is filed under the name uncultured bacterium. RNAcentral describes it as "bacterial SSU rRNA". It matches the Rfam family "Bacterial small subunit ribosomal RNA", at positions 28 to 507 of the family's 1533-position model. The record is from RNAcentral.
GAUGAACGCUAGCGGCAGGCCUAACACAUGCAAGUCGAGGGGCAUCACGGAUUGCUUGCAAUCUGGUGGCGACCGGCGCACGGGUGCGUAACGCGUAUACAACCUACCUUUUGGAGGGGAAUAGCCCAGAGAAAUUUGGAUUAAUACCCCAUAGUAUGUAGGAAUCUCCUUGAUUUUUAUAUUUAAACAUUUAUGGCCAUUAGAUGGGUAUGCGUCCUAUUAGCUAGUUGGUGUGGUAACGGCACACCAAGGCUACGAUAGGUAGGGGUCCUGAGAGGGAGAUCCCCACACUGGUACUGAGACACGGACCAGACUCCUACGGGAGGCAGCAGUGAGGAAUAUUGGACAAUGGGCGAGAGCCUGAUCCAGCCAUGCCGCGUGCAGGAAGACUGCCCUAUGGGUUGUAAACUGCUUUUACAGAGGAAGAACCACCCCCACGUGUGGGGGUUUGACGGUACUCUGCGAAUAAGGAUCGGCUAACUCCGUG